RNAcentral lists this unclassified non-coding RNA (376 nucleotides) under soil metagenome. RNAcentral's name for it is "partial contains 5.8S ribosomal RNA, internal transcribed spacer 2, and large subunit ribosomal RNA". The stretch from base 1 to 120 matches the Rfam family "5.8S ribosomal RNA", at positions 35 to 154 of the family's 154-position model. The record is from RNAcentral.
GAUGAAGAACGCAGCGAAAUGCGAUAAGUAAUGUGAAUUGCAGAAUUCAGUGAAUCAUCGAAUCUUUGAACGCAUCUUGCGCUGCUUGGUAAUCUGAGGAACAUGCCUGUUUGAGUGUCAUUAAAUUCUCAACUACACUGACUUUGAAUUGGUGUGGCUUGGAUUUGGGGGGAAAAUUGUUGUGGGCUUUUUGUAUAGUCUGCUCCCCUGAAAUUGAUUAGCGGUACCUUUGUGGAACUGUCUACAGGUGUGAUAAUUAUCUACAUCUUAAACAUCUGCUGGAAUGCUGCUUUCUAAACCUUACUUGUAUUGACAAUCUUGACCUCAAAUCAGGUAGGACUACCCGCUGAACUUAAGCAUAUCAAUAAGCGGAGGA